Molecule: ribosomal RNA, 798 nt
Filed under: Triticum aestivum (bread wheat)
Lineage: Eukaryota; Viridiplantae; Streptophyta; Magnoliopsida; Poales; Poaceae
Description: partial small subunit ribosomal RNA
Source: RNAcentral
AUGGACACCUUCUUCCUCUCGCACGGCUCGCCGGCGAUCUGCAUCGACGAGAGGAUCCCGGCGCACGGCUUCUUCAAGUCGUGGCUGCCAGCGGCGGUGGCGGGCGCGCAGGCGCCGCGCGCCGUCCUGGUGGUGUCCGCUCACUGGGAGACGGACGCUCCGGCCGUCAACGUCGUCCACGGCACCAACGACACCAUCCACGACCUGCAGGACCUCCCUGACGAGAUGUACAAGCUGAGGUACCCUGCGCCGGGCGCGCCGGGCCUGGCCAGGAGGACUAAGGAGCUCCUGGAGGGCGCCGGGUUCGGGCCGGUGAGCGAGGAGCACGGCCGCGGGAUCGACCACGGCGCGUGGGUGCCGCUGAUGCUCAUGUUCCCGGAGGCCGACGUCCCGGCGUGCCAGCUCUCCCUGCAGGCCGGCCGCGACGGCGCCUACCACUACGCCCUCGGCACGGCGCUGGCGCCCCUCAGGGACGAAGGCGUCCUCGUCCUCGGCUCCGGCACCACCACGCACAACCUCAGAGAGUUGGGCCCUCUCGAUGCGCCGGUGCCGCAGUGGGCCUACGACUUCGACGCCUGGCUCAGGGACGCGCUCCUGGACGGGAGGUACGACGACGUGAAGCGAUACAAGGAGAAGGCGCCCUACGGCGAGCUUGCGCACCCUUCGCCGGAGCACAUCUACCCGCUGCACGUCGCGCUGGGCGCCGCCGGGGAUGAGGCCAGGGCGGAGCUGAUCCACCGCAGCUGGACCAACGCCACCUUCUCCUACUCUUCUUACCGUUUCACCAACAAGAUUUGA